GCACGAGUCUAGUUAUAAAGGGGAUUCCGCAGAAGGAGGAGUGGGUCAGAUGGGGAAGGUAAAGAGAGAGUCUAUUGAGCCACUUGGCACGGGAUUAGUUCUGUGGCAGAAUCAGUCGAAGUUCCAAUGGAGUGAUCGGUAAGUCCUCACUGAAGGAAGUCAGUAGCAAACCAUGAGAGUCAGUCAUUUUCUAGGGAAUGUAUUUCUCUGAAGGAAGUCAAGUAUCUAUCUAGUACUACGUGAUCCAGUCAACUGAUUUUCUCACUCUUUCUAGGGUCCGACAACCCUAUGA
Molecule: long non-coding RNA, 292 nt
Filed under: Populus trichocarpa (black cottonwood)
Lineage: Eukaryota; Viridiplantae; Streptophyta; Magnoliopsida; Malpighiales; Salicaceae
Description: long non-coding RNA (PTRI_LNC004347)
Source: RNAcentral